Molecule: ribosomal RNA, 460 nt
Filed under: uncultured bacterium
Lineage: Bacteria
Description: partial 16S ribosomal RNA
Rfam family: Bacterial small subunit ribosomal RNA
Source: RNAcentral
CCUACGGGAGGCAGCAGUGAGGAAUAUUGGUCAAUGGACGCAAGUCUGAACCAGCCAUGCCGCGUGCAGGAAGACGGCUCUAUGAGUUGUAAACUGCUUUUGUACGAGGGUAAAGGCAGAUACGCGUAUCUGUCUGAAAGUAUCGUACGAAUAAGGAUCGGCUAACUCCGUGCCAGCAGCCGCGGUAAUACGGAGGAUUCGAGCGUUAUCCGGAUUUAUUGGGUUUAAAGGGUGCGUAGGCGGUCGGAUAAGUUAGAGGUGAAAUCCCGAGGCUCAACCGCGGAAUUGCCUCUGAUACUGGCAGUCUAGAGAGGAGUUGAGGUAGGCGGAAUGUGUGGUGUAGCGGUGAAAUGCUUAGAUAUCAUGCAGAACACCGAUUGCGAAGGCAGCUUGCCAAGCCACAUCUGACGCUGAGGCACGAAAGCGUGGGGAGCGAACAGGAUUAGAUACCCCAGUAGUC